Molecule: small RNA, 107 nt
Filed under: Marmota monax (woodchuck)
Lineage: Eukaryota; Metazoa; Chordata; Mammalia; Rodentia; Sciuridae
Source: RNAcentral
GCUGGGCAUGGUGGCACAUGCCUGUAACCCUAGCAACUGGGGAGGCUGAGGCAGGAGGACCACAAGUUCCAGGCCAGCCCGGGCAACUUAGCAAGACCCUGCCUCAA